Molecule: transfer RNA, 60 nt
Filed under: Eulimnogammarus vittatus
Lineage: Eukaryota; Metazoa; Arthropoda; Malacostraca; Amphipoda; Eulimnogammaridae
Description: tRNA-Thr
Source: RNAcentral
GUCUUUAUAGUUUAUAUAAAAUAUUAGUCUUGUAAACUAAAGUAGAAUUCUCUAAAGACU